GAGUAUUCCAUCCCGCUCUCCCGACUCAUUUAAAAAAACCCUUACAAACACCCCCAAACAAAACGCUACCCAUCCGUCAUCAUCAUUCCUCCGCUUUCCGAUCGAUCCGUAGAGAGACCGAUCCAAGCCUCGCCUCGCCUCGCCUCUACUACUAUUCCUCGAUACUGUUCCUCGAUUCGCUGAAGGGAACUCGGAGGAAUCGCGAGAUUCCGCUGGUCCGAAGCUGAGUGUCAAAGCAAUGGCAAUGGAGAUCACCCAGAUCCUAUUAUCAGCCCAAUCUCCGGAUGCUGAUGUGAGGACUGUUGCAGAGAAGAACCUUAAGCAGUUUCAGGAGCAGAAUCUCCCCAUUUUUCUCCUCUCCUUAUCUGCUGAGCUAUCAAGUGAGAAAAAGCCUCGUGAAUCCCGAAGACUUGCUGGCAUUAUCCUUAAGAAUUCUUUGGAUGCAAAGGACUUAAUUAGGAAAGGAGAGCUGACACAACGGUGGGUAAAUAUUGAUGCUUCAGUAAAAACCCAGAUCAAGCAAUCUCUAUUCCGGACCCUUGGGUCAUCUGUAUCUGAGGCAGGGCACACCUCAUCACAAGUCAUUGGAAAGAUUGCUUCCAUUGAGAUCCCUCGAAAGCAAUGGCCAGAGCUCAUUGGCCACUUGCUAUCCAACAUGACCCAGCUAGAGACACCGGCCUCAUUGAAACAAGCAACCCUCCAGGCACUGGGUUAUGUCUGUGAGGAGAUAUCUUCUCAGGAUUUGGAGCAAGACCAAGUAAAUGCAGUCCUUACUGCUGUUGUUCAGGGUAUGUCUCAGACUGAACAGAGCUCUGAAGUCCGUCUUGCUGCUGUUAGAGCACUAUAUAAUGCUCUUGAUUUCGCUCAGCAUAACUUUGACAAUGAGAUGGAGCGGAAUUUCAUUUUGAAGGUUGUAUGUGAGACUGCUGUAUCAAAAGAGCCGGAGAUUAGGCAGGCGGCAUUUGAGUGCCUUGUUUCUAUAUCUUCUACAUACUAUGAGGUGCUGGAGCAGUAUAUGCAGACAUUAUUCAAUCUGACAGCAAAUGCUGUGAAGACAGAUGAAGAACCUGUUGCCCUUCAAGCUAUUGAGUUCUGGAGUUCUGUUUGUGAUGAAGAGAUUGAGAUUCAAGAAGUCUAUGGGGGAGCCGAUGGUGCAGGCUCGGAGCAUCACCAUUUUCAUUUUAUAGAGAAAACACUUCCUUUCCUUGUUCCAUUGUUGCUAGAAACUCUUCUGAAGCAGGAGGAGGAUCAAGAUCAAGAUGAAGGUAUCUGGAAUUUGUCCAUGGCUGCUGGGACCUGCUUAGGACUUGUUGCAAGGACUGUUGGAGAUGCGAUAGUGCCCCUUGUUAUGCCCUUCGUGGAGAAUAACAUAGUAAAACCUGAUUGGCGAAGCCGAGAGGCAGCCACCUAUGCUUUUGGGUCCAUUCUUGAAGGCCCAUCGAUUGAAAAGCUUUCUCCACUGGUUCAUGCUGGUCUAAACUUCUUUCUUAAUUCAAUGAAAGACCAGAAUAGCCAUGUGAAGGACACCACUUCAUGGGCUUUGGCUAGGAUCUUUGAAUUCUUGCAUUCUCCAAACAGUCCCUAUCCAAUUGUAACAUCUUCAAAUCUUCCUCAUAUCAUGUCUGUAUUGUUGGAAAGUAUCAAAGAUGCCCCUAACGUGGCUGAAAAGGUUUGUGGUGCCAUUUACUUUCUUGCUCAGGGGUAUGAGGAUGAGGGGUCAGGGUCAAGUUCCUCUGUCCUUUCACCUUACCUUCCUGACAUCAUUGCGGCUCUCCUUUUCUCUGCUGAUCGCACAGACUCUAACGGUUCCAGGCUUCGGGCUUCUGCAUAUGAAACCUUGAAUGAGAUAAUAAGGUGCAGCAGUAUACCUGAGACUUCAAAUAUGAUUGCCCAGUUACUCCACACAAUCAUGACCAGACUAGGCCAGACUGUAGAGCUCCAAGUUGUUUCCUCGGGUGACAGGGAGAAGCAAAUUGAUAUUCAAGCUUUGCUCUGUGGUGUCCUCCAAGUAUUGAUUCAGAAGCUGAGUGCCUCUGAUGAGACAAAGUCAAUCAUUCUGCAGGCUGCUGAUCAGAUGAUGAUCCUGUUUCUCCAAGUGUUUGCUUGCCGUAGUUCUACUGUGCAUGAAGAAGCAAUGCUUGCCAUUGGAGCACUAGCUUAUGCUACUGGUCCAGAAUUUGCUAAAUACAUGCCAGAGUUCUACAAGUAUCUAGAGAUGGGAUUGCAAAAUAUUAAGGAGUAUCAGGUCUGCUCUAUCUCCGUUGGCGUCGUGGGGGACAUCUGCCGAGCCUUGGAUGACAAGAUCCUUCCCUAUUGUGAUGGUAUCAUGACUCAUCUUCUCAGGAACCUCUCAAAUUCCUUGCUCAACCGGUCUGUCAAGCCUCCCAUUUUCUCAUGUUUGGGGGACAUUGCCCUUGCCAUCGGUGAGCAUUUUGAGAAGUAUCUGCCCUAUACAAUGCCAAUGCUGCAAGGAGCUGCUGAACUGUGCUCUCAGAUGGAUGGUGGCGAUGAGGAUUUGCUUGAUUACGGAAACCAGCUUAGACGCGGCAUAUUUGAUGCUUACUCUGGUGUACUUCAGGGAUUUAAAAACUCCAAGGCAGAGCUGAUGGUUCCUUAUGCAGGCCAUCUUUUGCAAUUUACAGAGGCAAUCUUUAAAGACAAGGAUAGGGAUGAGGGAGUGACUAAAGCUGCGGUUGCUGUCAUGGGGGAUCUUGCAGACACACUCGGUCCAAACACAAAGAUCUUCUUCAGAGAUUGUACUUUCCAUAAGGAUUUCUUAGGAGAGUGUUUUGCAUCUGAUGAUGACCAACUGAAGCAGACAGCAACUUGGACUCAGGGAAUGAUUGGACGUGUUCUGGUUUCAUGAGGUGAAGCCACUUCUUGGAGUGCAAUGAAGUUUCCUCUUUACAUCAUACUGUUUUCUGUGAUAGGAAAGCAGUUCAAAGUCUCAAGGCCCUUUUUGGAAAUGAUGUGAAAGAAGUUGAGUUUAUUCUCCAUUGAAACAUUCUAGUCACUGCCCUCACUAUUUUUGAGAUGCUGCAAAUACAUUUGGAUGGAGAGUAGGGAUGUUGAGCUAAAUCUGAGCGAAGCAGGUACUUUGGAUAGGCCUGACUUGAUGACCCAGCCUGAACCAAUGCCCAAUGGGGGCCAUGGUUUAGCAGGUUGACAUCCUUAAUGGAGAGGUUGCAACACAAACAGGUGCUUUAGGUGUGGAGGCUCUCUUUUGGUCCUUCUGCUGAGGCCAUCAAUCUACAUUCCUGGAUUGGAGAUCAAAUGGAUGUCAUGCAUAUGUGUCAGAGUGUAUGGCAUAUCGUCCCCAUGUAAAUGUACUUGCUGUUCUUUGGAUCAAAUAUAAAGAAAAUUAUUAGGAUUGCAAUGGCUGAAUUAGACAUGGAAGUAAUUACGAAACCGAGAAGGAAGUGUUUGCCAGAUGGUACUGAACAACUGCAGCUUGCAGAACCCUGUGGAAUGGCUUCUGCGGAGCUUUCUCAGGCCAAUUCUAAAUUCUUGGCAUAUGCAAUUACCUCACAAUCUAUGUGCUUGGAUUCCAGUUAGUUGCCAUUUUAAUGUUGAAGGUUGGUGUGAGAGCAUGACGAUAUCAGAAUUGGAUUUGUCUCAUUUCUUGAAGUUCAGCAAAAAGUUAUAUUGUAAAGUCUCAUUUCUUGUUCAGUGUAUUUAAUAGUUAGUGGUUUGAUUACAGUUUCAUAGCUUAAUAUGGAACUAUACAUAACCUAUCUCU
Molecule: RNA transcript, 3739 nt
Organism: Phoenix dactylifera (date palm)
Lineage: Eukaryota; Viridiplantae; Streptophyta; Magnoliopsida; Arecales; Arecaceae
Gene name: importin subunit beta-1-like
Source: RefSeq, a predicted model, not a curated record